UGGUCUAUAGUUCAACGGAUGAGAAUACUACGCUACGAACGUGGGGAUACAAGUUCGAAUCUUGUUAGACCAA
Molecule: transfer RNA, 73 nt
Filed under: Ferruginibacter sp.
Lineage: Bacteria; Pseudomonadati; Bacteroidota; Chitinophagia; Chitinophagales; Chitinophagaceae
Description: tRNA-Arg
Rfam family: tRNA
About the family: Transfer RNA (tRNA) molecules are approximately 80 nucleotides in length. Their secondary structure includes four short double-helical elements and three loops (D, anti-codon, and T loops). Further hydrogen bonds mediate the characteristic L-shaped molecular structure. tRNAs have two regions of fundamental functional importance: the anti-codon, which is responsible for specific mRNA codon recognition, and the 3' end, to which the tRNAs corresponding amino acid is attached (by aminoacyl-tRNA synthetases). tRNAs cope with the degeneracy of the genetic code in two manners: having more than one tRNA (with a specific anti-codon) for a particular amino acid; and 'wobble' base-pairing, i.e. permitting non-standard base-pairing at the 3rd anti-codon position.
Source: RNAcentral